UACGGAGGGUGCAAGCGUUGUCCGGAUUUAUUGGGUUUAAAGGGUGCGUAGGCGGUUUUAUAAGUCAGUGUUUAAAGUCUACAGCUUAACUGUAGGAAUGGCAUUGAUACUGUAAAACUUGAGUAAAGUUGAGGUAGGCGGAAUUGAAGGUGUAGCGGUGAAAUGCUUAGAUAUCUUCAAGAACACCGAUUGCGAAGGCAGCUUACUAAACUUUAACUGACGCUGAGGCACGAAAGCGUGGGGAUCAAACAGG
This 253-nucleotide ribosomal RNA is filed under the name uncultured prokaryote. RNAcentral describes it as "partial 16S ribosomal RNA". It matches the Rfam family "Bacterial small subunit ribosomal RNA", at positions 524 to 776 of the family's 1533-position model. The record is from RNAcentral.